Cavia porcellus (domestic guinea pig) is the source of this 6147-nucleotide long non-coding RNA. RefSeq lists it as uncharacterized. The transcript is spliced from 5 exons. The record is from RefSeq and is a predicted model, not a curated record. Lineage: Eukaryota; Metazoa; Chordata; Mammalia; Rodentia; Caviidae.
UUCUAAUAUUUUUAUCUAUGUCUUCUUUAGAUAUAUGCUCAACAUUUUUUUCAUAUUUGUCAUUUUUUUUUACCUGAUAGAUUAUUUCUGAUCUGAUUUCCUCUAUAGCCUCAUGGUGUUUCUUCACUUCAGUUGCUAUCUUUUCAGAUAUUUCAGUUGUGUAAUUUUUGGUUUCGUCUAUGUCAGUGUCUCCUGGCUUGUUCUCAGUGGACUGGAGGUCUGAGAUUGUGACCUGGCCUGUGGGUAAGUCCACAGAGACCCUAGAGGAGGAUUGGGGAAGAAAAGGAAAUUAGAGACACAAUGAGCAGAGACAAGGUGAGGAAGUCCAAUCAAGUCUCCAUUCAAGGAAUGAGUAUCAAAUAUAUAGGAUAUUGGGGAGGAGGGAUUUCAGUGCUGAGACAUCAGCAGGUAACUUAGCAACAGUGGCUAGACUGACAUUUAUAGGUCCAUUCAAAUUUCUUGCACUCGGGCUCAAUAAGCAUAAUCCCGGAAUAAUGGGACAGGCUAAACAAGUUAUGCAAGGUGCUGCUUAAUUACCAAACUUAACUCCUAGAGGGAAUUAAGGUGGUGUGGCCUGCAGAUAUAAGGUGGCAGCCAAUUACAGGGAUUCCCACAAGACUGCAUUUUGCUCUUUCAUUUUGUCAUUUUCCUAUGUUCCUCCAAUUGAGCUGAUUAAGUCCAAGAUGCUUCUCAAGCUGACUGACAGUCCUGGGAUGUAAGUGAGUGGACCAAGUAUCUGGGUUCUUUUGAGCAGAGGUUCCUGAGCUGAUGGAAAAAUAGCAAACAGGGCUUUUGCCCUCCCUUAGCUCACUAUGGCUCCCUCCUGAUGGUGGAGGGUUUCUGGGUGGGGCUCUUCCAAAACCAUGCUUCUCCCUGGAGUGCUCCAUUGAUGGCUCCUGGGUGCUGCACUGGGCUGGGUGGAGCUUGGAUCCUCCAAGAUCUAUGAAGUUAGCCAGGGUGACUCCCCCAAAGGAUGACACCAGGAUGUUACUCUGCAUUGGGUAGAGCUCUGACCCUCAGAAUCCAUGUGGCUAGCCAGGGUGCACCCCCAAAGUAUGGCAACAGGACCUUGCAUUUGGAUCGGCAGGACUUGGAUCCUCCAGGACCCACGUGGCUAGUUGGAGUGCACCUGCAAAGUAUGGCACCAGGGCCUGAUGCUAGGCUGGGUAGGACUCAGAUCCUCCAGGAUCCUUGAGGCUGGCCAGGGUGCACCCUCAAAGUAUGGCUCUGGGCCUUCCACUGGGCUGGGUGGGACUCAGAUCCUCCAGGACUUGUGCAGCUAGCUGGGGCACACUCCCAAAGUACAGUGCCCUUGUGAGUCAGCUUGUAGCAGAAGAUGCCACUACCCCCAGCCAGUAUACUUCAGUUUCUUUGUUGCCCAAGUAGUAGUUUCAGUUCCAGUUCUGGUUGCUUCUGGUCUCUUAGAAAUGGCCAAUCUCACUGAACUCCAAGCACAAGAAGCUUCAAGUAUUCUGACCCAUCAUAAAUUUAUCACAAAUCCUAACUAAAAAUAUAUUCUAAAAUAUACAUUAUGAGCUAGGUGUGGUGAUACAUGCCUGCAAGACUAGCAUUCUGGAAAGUUGAGGCAGGAGAAUAACUCAAUUCAAGUCUGACCUGGGUAACUUAGCAAUUGAAGACUCUGUCUCACAAAACAGAGUACAGUAGAGUACAGGAGAAUAGAAUAGAAUAGUACAGAAUAGAAUGGCCUGAGAUGUAGCCUAGAACAAAGGGUAAAUCCCCAGUACCACAAGGAAAGCAAAGCAAAACACAUUAUGACCAAUGAGGUUUGUCCAAAAAAUGAAAACUUGGUUUAAUAUUUGAAAGCAAUCCCAUGUAAUUCACUUGACUGACAAACAAAAAAGAAAAAUCAUAUAAUUGUUUCAGUAGACACAAAAUCCAACAUCCAUUUCUUAUAAACUUGAAAUACCAGGGGAAAUUCUUUAACCAAAUAGAGGGCAUCUCUGAAAAAACCUAUGAAUCUUGUCAACAUAAGCAAGAGGAAGAAAGACAUCCCGAUAGAAAAGGAAGGAGAAAAACUGUUUUCAUUUGCAGCUAUGUUCAUCUAUGUAGAAAAUCUUAUGGAAACUGCAAAAGAGCUACUAGAACUAUAGGUAGUUUAGCAAGUUUGUAGGAUGUAAGAUCAAUAUGUAAAAAUCAAUUUUUACUUUGAUAUAUUAGCAACAUACAGAAAUUGAAAUUAAAAAACCAAUAAAUUUAAAAUAGAUUCAAAACUAAAAUAUUUUGUGAUAAAUGUGAUAAAGAAAUUACAAGUUCUAUACAAAAGAAGCUAGAAAGUAUUGCUGAGAGACAUUGUAAAAGAUCUAAAUGGAUCUGGAGAUGUCCUGUGUCCUUGGGAUAGAAGACUCAAUAAUGUCAAGAUGUCAGUUAUCCCUAAUUAUCUCCAAUUUGUUGAUCUAUAGAUUCAACAUAAAGUCCCAGCCAGCUUUUUUAAAACAUAGAUGGGUUAAUUCUAAGUUUAUAUGAAAAUGCAAGGGACCUAGAAUAGCAAAAACAAUGUUGAAAAAGUAACCAACUUAGAGAACUAACACUACCUGAUUCCAGAUAUAUUAUAAAGCACUAGUAGUUAAAACAAUGUGUCAUUAUAAGAAUAGACACAUAGAUUAAUGGAAUGGAGACUAAAAAUAGAUCAUAUAUGUAUUGGAAACAAACUUCUGUGUUUUCUUUUUAAAUAAAAUUUGACUUCAAGGUAGACCUCAAAAAGUUUUGAAGAUAGUACUGAACUCUCAUACCCAGUUUCCUCUAUUGUGAACAUCUUACAGUAGUAUAGUAUACUUGUCACAAUUAACAAAUGGAUAUUGAUGCAUUAUUAGUAACUAAAGUGUAUACUUUAUUCAUAUUUCCUUAAUUUUUUACUGAAUGUUCUUUUCAGGAUCCCAUCUAUGAAACCAUAUCACAUUCAGCCAUCUUAUCUUCUUAGGCAUCUAUACUGUAAGUGGUUUUCACACUUACCUUGUUUUUGAUGACCUUCACAGUUUUGAAGGUAUUGUGCUACCAGUCCAAGGUGGGAAGUUUCACUUGAGAUUUAUUGGGGCAGCUUGAAAAAAAGAUGUGGGGACUUAAGAAUGUCUCACAUGCCUUUACUAGCUCAGCAGCAAAAAGCAAUACUGAGAAAAGAAAAUCCCACUCCUGUAUUAUAUACAAUAUCACACAAAGUUGGCACGUUGCCAAAAAUUUAUAUAAUAGACUACUCAUGUACAUGUUCACUGUGCAUGUCCAGGCUACAUAACAUGCCAAUUCACUUGCAAGUGGAAGGCUGGGUGAAAAACCUCAGCCCAGCCAUCUUGUGUAUCUGCUAACUGGAAUUUAACAUUUUUCUAACAAUUAGACUGGAGUUAUAUAUUUGGGGGGAAAAGACUAUAGGGCUAAAAUGCCAUUCUCAUUACUCCCAUCAAGGACACAUACUAGCAACAUGACAUCAUUGUUCCUGUUAUCAAUUAUUCUAGAAUCUGCACCCGUAAAUCUAGUGGUCACUUGUUAGGACCUAGAGAGACUCAGGUCUCACAACUGAGAAAGAAAGGAAGUCAAACAUAGAAGCAGACAUGGCCAUUUUAUGUACCUGCAGUGCACUGGCCUCUGUACUAAGCAGUUUACAUGAAUUAUCUCAUUUUAUCCUCACUCAGUCCUACAAAGAAGAUACUAUCCUUUGUUCUAUACACAAAGAAACUGAAGAUGAUGGAAGUGAAAAGUAAUUUCUGCAAGGUUGCACACCAGAACAUAAUGCUAUUAUAUCCUACCAUCUCUCUCCCUUGCAGGCAAAGGAAGGCAGUUCAACAUUAAGAGUGUGUUAAUGAGCCAGGGUUGAUGGCACAUCUGUAAUCCCAGCGCUUUAAGGGUGAGGCAGAAGGAUUUUAAAUUUGAACGCAGUUUGGGUAAUUUAGUGACUUAGGCCCUGUCUCAAAAUAAAAAAUAAAACAGGGCUGGGAAUGUAGCUCAAGGCUCUCUGACUGUCAGCCAGACUGCCAGGUGGUCAGCAGUGGGGGUGGCGGGGUUGCAGUAGGGAGGCUCUGGUCACUGAAGGGACCUGUCAAAAAGCAAUGUUGAGACCCUUUUAGGUAAAUGCCAGAGCAAAAAGCUCUCAGCAACAUGUAGUUGUGAGAAGAAGGAAACAGUUGAAAGCAGUGUUCAAGGCAGUGUCAACUUGACCCAGAGUCAGUUCAGCUCUGCAAGCUGCUUCUGCCUGAAAAGGACGCCCUGUUCCCAGGUGGGAAGACCCUGAAGGCCUGAGGAUUAAAAGCAGAGGAGCCCUAGGGGCCAGAAGCCAUGCAUGUUAUUCAUCUCAGCUGUCCCUUCAAAUAUCCUAUGCCAGUUGUUUGUUGCUUACUUUCUUUUUCUGCCAAAAUAACUUUAUUGAGGCAAAUCAUGUAAAUUUAUCCUUUUCAAGUAUACAAUUCAAUGUUUUAGUAAAUGUAUCAAGUUAUGCAACCAUUGCCACCAGUCAGUUUUAGGACACUUUCAUCAGAACAGUGUGCUAUUCAUGCACACUCAUAGUUAAUUCCCCAUACCUCUUUACCGCUACCCACCCAACCCAUUCCCUAGGCAACCAUGAAUCAUCUGCCUGUAGAUUUCCCUGUUCUGAGUAUUUCAUUUUAAUGAAAUAAUACAAUAUGUGGCAUCUUAUGUUUGGCACCUUUCACAUGCACAUAUUUUUGAGGUUUAUCUUUUGGAGUGCGUAUUCAUAGUUUAUUCCUUUUUAUUGCAGAUUAGCACCCCAUUGGCAGGAUAUACUACAUGUUGUUUAUCCAUUUAUUGGUUUAUGAACCUUGGCUUUGUAUUCAGUUUUUGACUAUUCUGAAUAAUCCUAGCAAAAACAUUCAUAUGCAUCUCUGUGUAUCAAUAUGUUUUCAUUUCUCUUGUGCUACCCUAUCUUAAGCUUCUGUUUCUUUUUUUCUAAGUUUUUUCACAGUGCUAGAGAUCAAACCCAGGACCUUGUGCAUGUUAUCCAAGCACUGUACCACCAAAGCCUACCUCCACUCCUUCUUAUUUUUUAUUUUUGAGACAGGAUCUAAGUCAUUACGUUACCCAGACUCGAACUUGGGAUCCUUCUGCCUCAGACUCUUGAGUAGAUGAGAUUACAGUUACUUCACUGGCUUUCUACUGUCCUCUGGAUAAAACUCAAACCCUUAGUGUGACCACAGAAGGUGCUUUUUAUCUGUUCAAUUUUAUCUCUUGUGACUCUUUUGAAAGAGAAGGACCUCACAGAAUGAAGACACAUUAAGACAAAGCAAUGUAGAAAAAGAAAUCUUCCUCAGUGCUAGGUCAUGAGUUCCAUCCCCAAUACCAAGAAAAGAAAAGAAAAGAAAAGAAAAGAAAAGAAAAGAAAAGAAAAGAAAAGAAAAGUCGCUUACCCACUAAAAUUUAUGUGUAAUCCAGAGACAAUAUAUGCAGUGACCAUGUGCAAAGGGUUUGCUGUUUAAAAUGGUCUCAAGCAUAGUGUGGAAGUGCUGCCUGGUGUUUCUAAUUACAAGAAAAUACCUUACAGAAAAUGUGUUAAAUAAGAUUAAUUUAGGCGUGUGUGACAGAGCUGCUGGCCGUAAGAUCAGGGUUAAUGAAUCACCAAUAUGCAAUAAAUGAGAUGUCCUUAAACAGAAACACACUUAAAACAAGGGUCUCUAUGUAAUUUGGAGUAGCCUUACUGUGUGACCCAGACUGGCCUCAAACUCACAGCAAUCCUCCUGCCUCAGCCUCUGGAGUAUAUUUCAAUCACCAACAGACACAUCCAGAAUUUUCUAAUUUGCUGGGUAAUUCUUAUUCAAGUCAAAUCAGUGUAUCACAAUGAUCACAGCCUGUUAUGGUUUGCAUCUGGAUGUCAUCCCUCCAAAGCCUCAUAGUCAUGAAGGGGGGACUUUUCUGAGAUAGCUGAAUCUAAGGGGUGUGAUUGAUUCGGAGUACAAUGCUGGGAUUAAGGGUGGGCAUUACUGGAUCGGUCUAUUGAUUGGGUUGGCACUGCCCUAAUCUGAGUAGACUGGAUAAGAUAAAAGGGGCAGAAAGAGGCUUGUUUCUCCCUUUUCGCUCUGACUUGUUUUUGUUGUCUUCCACCAUGAACUGUGUUACUCUGCCUUGGACCCAGCCAAUUAUGGACUUAUACAUUUAUAAACUGUGAGCUAAAUAAACCUAUCCUCCUUUAAA